GCGCCUGUGGCCUAAUGGAUAGGGCACUAGCCUCCGGAGCUGGUCGUGGCAGUUCGAUUCUGCCCAGGCGCG
This 72-nucleotide transfer RNA is filed under the name Candidatus Ghiorseimicrobium undicola. RNAcentral's name for it is "Candidatus Omnitrophica bacterium CG11_big_fil_rev_8_21_14_0_20_42_13 tRNA-Arg". It matches the Rfam family "tRNA". From Rfam's summary of the family: Transfer RNA (tRNA) molecules are approximately 80 nucleotides in length. Their secondary structure includes four short double-helical elements and three loops (D, anti-codon, and T loops). Further hydrogen bonds mediate the characteristic L-shaped molecular structure. tRNAs have two regions of fundamental functional importance: the anti-codon, which is responsible for specific mRNA codon recognition, and the 3' end, to which the tRNAs corresponding amino acid is attached (by aminoacyl-tRNA synthetases). tRNAs cope with the degeneracy of the genetic code in two manners: having more than one tRNA (with a specific anti-codon) for a particular amino acid; and 'wobble' base-pairing, i.e. permitting non-standard base-pairing at the 3rd anti-codon position. Lineage: Bacteria; Pseudomonadati; Candidatus Omnitrophota. The record is from RNAcentral.